AGGUUUGUAUUUUAAAUAUUAAUAAAACCUAACUUGCAAUUAGAAAAUGUGGUAACACCAAGCCUU
Molecule: transfer RNA, 66 nt
Filed under: Opilio parietinus
Lineage: Eukaryota; Metazoa; Arthropoda; Arachnida; Opiliones; Phalangiidae
Description: tRNA-Ala
Source: RNAcentral